RNAcentral lists this ribosomal RNA (253 nucleotides) under uncultured bacterium. Its description in RNAcentral is "partial 16S ribosomal RNA". It matches the Rfam family "Bacterial small subunit ribosomal RNA", at positions 524 to 776 of the family's 1533-position model. The record is from RNAcentral.
UACGUAGGGGGCUAGCGUUGUCCGGAAUCAUUGGGCGUAAAGAGCGUGUAGGCGGCCCGGUAAGUCCGCUGUGAAAGUCGGGGGCUCAACCCUCGAAUGCCGGUGGAUACUGUCGGGCUAGAGUGCGGAAGAGGCGAGUGGAAUUCCUGGUGUAGCGGUGAAAUGCGCAGAUAUCAGGAGGAACAUCAGUGGCGAAGGCGGCUACCUGGCCCAAUACUGACACUCAGGUGCGACAGCGUGGGGAGCAAACAGG